GUGCCAGCCGCCGCGGUAAUACCGGGAGCUCGAGUGAAGACCGAUCUUAUUGGGCCUAAAGCGUCCGUAGCCGGCCGGGCAAGUCCGUCGGGAAAUCCACCAGCUCAACUGGUGGGCGCCCGGCGGAAACUGCUCGGCUUGGGACAGGAAGACCCGAGGGGUACGUCCGGGGGAGGAGUGAAAUCCCGUAAUCCUGGACGGACCGCCGAUGGCGAAAGCACCUCGGGAGGACUGAUCCGACGGUGAGGGACGAAAGCUGGGGUCUCGAACCGGAUUAGAUACCCCAGUAGUCC
RNAcentral lists this ribosomal RNA (293 nucleotides) under uncultured bacterium. Its description in RNAcentral is "partial 16S ribosomal RNA". It matches the Rfam family "Archaeal small subunit ribosomal RNA", at positions 455 to 747 of the family's 1478-position model. The record is from RNAcentral.